RNAcentral lists this ribosomal RNA (320 nucleotides) under uncultured eukaryote. Its description in RNAcentral is "partial 18S ribosomal RNA". It matches the Rfam family "Eukaryotic small subunit ribosomal RNA", at positions 1470 to 1796 of the family's 1831-position model. The record is from RNAcentral.
CCCCUAGAUGUUCUGGGCCGCACGCGCGCUACACUGAACAGUUCAACAAGUCUUAACCUUGGCCGAUAGGUCUGGGUAAUCUUUGAACGCUGUUCGUGAUUGGGAUAGACCUUUGCAAUUCUGGGUCUUCAACGAGGAAUUCCUAGUAAACGCAAGUCAUCAGCUUGCAUUGAUUACGUCCCUGCCCUUUGUACACACCGCCCGUCGCACCUACCGAUUGAAUGGUCCGGUGAAAUCUCGGGACGGCGGCUUGGUCGCUUGCGUCCGACUGCUGAAACUUGAUUAAACCAUAUCAUUUAGAGGAAGGUGAAGUCGUAACA